Molecule: ribosomal RNA, 786 nt
Filed under: uncultured bacterium
Lineage: Bacteria
Description: bacterial SSU rRNA
Rfam family: Bacterial small subunit ribosomal RNA
Source: RNAcentral
UGGGCGUAAAGCGUACCGAUAGGUGGUUCAUUAAGUCUUGGGUAAAAGCCGGAAGCUCAACUUCCGCGUUUGCUUAAGAUACUAAUAGACUAGAGGGGCAAAGAGGUGCUUGGAUCCAACGGUGUAGUAGUGAAAUGCGUUGAUAUCGUUGGGAACACCGAAAGCGAAGGCAGAGCACUGGGUGCCACCUGACACUGCUAGGACGAAAGCGUGGGUAGCGAAUGGGAUUAGAUACCCCAGUAGUCCACGCUGUAAACGAUGAAUACUAGGCAUACGCGAGUAUCGACCCUCGUAUGUGCCGUAGCUAACGCGAUAAGUAUUCCGCCUGGGGAGUACGGUCGCAAGACUAAAACUCAAAGGAAUUGACGGGGACCCGCACAAGCGGUGGAGCAUGUGGUUUAAUUCGACGAUAAGCGAGGAACCUUACCAGGGUCUGACAUGUACCUUCAAGCGCACGGAAACGUGUGAUCUUCGAGAGUGGUACACAGGUGCUGCACGGUUGUCGUCAGCUCGUGUCGUGAGAUGUACCGUUAAGUCGGGUAACGAGCGCAACCCCUACUCUAUGUUUUACGUGUCAUAGAGAACUGUCUGCUUUAAGCAGGAGGAAGGUGGGGAUGACGUCAAAUCAGCAUGGUUCUUACACCUUGGGCGACACACGUGCUACAAUGGUGGACACAAAGGGACGCCAAACCGUAAGGUGGAGCAAAUCCCAAAAAAUCCCUCUCAGUUCGGAUUGAGGUCUGCAACUCGACCUCAUGAAGCUGGAAUCGCUAGUAAUCGUGGAUC